AUUAAAUUGGCAGAAAAGUGCAUUAAGUUUAGAACUUAAUAAUAUAAAUAUUUUAUAUUUAAUA
This 64-nucleotide transfer RNA is filed under the name Ghauriana sinensis. RNAcentral's name for it is "tRNA-Leu". The record is from RNAcentral. Lineage: Eukaryota; Metazoa; Arthropoda; Insecta; Hemiptera; Cicadellidae.